This 969-nucleotide long non-coding RNA is filed under the name Heterocephalus glaber (naked mole-rat). RNAcentral's name for it is "lncRNA (ENSHGLG00100043918.1)". Lineage: Eukaryota; Metazoa; Chordata; Mammalia; Rodentia; Bathyergidae. The record is from RNAcentral.
CCUGACUCCGCGGCUCAGUACAGCCCUGGACACCACAGCAGUGGCAGGUGUGGCGUCUUCAAGUGAAAACUUCCCAGUCGCUGCCCCUUCCGAGGGCCCUGAACGGACUCAGAAGGCGACCCCGGACCGGAGGUGUGCAUGGGGAGAAGCCUGCACCUUCUUCUCUUCCGAGCUGUUCUCAUACACAGCCGUUUCGUACGCCUGCAGGUGUCAGGCGGAAGGGAUCUCGGCCCAGAGGAAGCCUUAGAGCGACUGUAUACCUUACUGUCUGACUCGGGACACUGUUGAGAGGGAAAGGGAGAAACUAAUCAUCACGCCAGGAGAUGUGGACACGGUGACCGUUCUGGGCACUCUGCGAACUGUGAGCUCUAAACUGGAGCAGGUUCGAGUGCUGGGCACGCAUUUGGUUUGUUGAUAACACAAUACUCAGGGACCUGGGGCCCAACAGGCCAAAGAGCUUGGAGAGGGUAAGGCAGGAGCAAUGAGGAUUCAAACUAACCUAAAUGAAUUCAUCUCAAGCUAUCUGUAGGAGGUGCCUCUUUGAGUCUUCUGGCAGACUAACCUCCUUUACAGCUGGAUGGAGCCUUGGGACUAGGUUCUGGACAACUGGAUAUUAACAGAAAUGAUGUGCAAUCUCUAGAUGCCAUUAAAGAAGGAGGCAGCCCUUUCUUUGCCUUUCGUCCUUUCUGCUGGCUGGAAUACAGACAUGCUGGUUGAAGCUGAAGCAGUCAUCUUGCACCAUGAAGUAAAUAUGGGAAAUGGAACUCAACCCAGAAAAGUACAAAACACAAGGAACUCCAAGAGCUAAUCUUGGAUAAGCACAGUUUGCCCACAACUGUGUGAAUCUGAAGUCGCCGAAGAGAAGAGGUGAUAGGAUGUCAUGAGUUGAGCAGCUUUUCUUCACUAUGCCCUUCCACCAUGAUGUUUCUGCCUUGAAUCCAGUCAACCAUGGACUGAUACCUCUGAAAC